This 460-nucleotide ribosomal RNA is filed under the name uncultured bacterium. Its description in RNAcentral is "partial 16S ribosomal RNA". It matches the Rfam family "Bacterial small subunit ribosomal RNA", at positions 338 to 795 of the family's 1533-position model. The record is from RNAcentral.
CCUACGGGAGGCAGCAGUGAGGAAUAUUGGUCAAUGGGCGCAAGCCUGAACCAGCCAAGUCGCGUGAGGGAUGACUGCCCUAUGGGUUGUAAACCUCUUUUAUAAAGGAAUAAAGUGCGGCACGUGUGCCGUUUUGUAUGUACUUUAUGAAUAAGGAUCGGCUAACUCCGUGCCAGCAGCCGCGGUAAUACGGAGGAUCCGAGCGUUAUCCGGAUUUAUUGGGUUUAAAGGGUGCGUAGGCGGCUUUUUAAGUCAGUGGUGAAAGUUUGUGGCUCAACCGUAAAAUUGCAGUUGAUACUGGGAGUCUUGAGUAUGGUUGAGGCAGGCGGAAUUCGUGGUGUAGCGGUGAAAUGCUUAGAUAUCACGCAGAACCCCGAUUGCGAAGGCAGCCUACCAAGCCAUCACUGACGCUGAUGCUCGAAAGCGUGGGUAUCAAACAGGAUUAGAUACCCCGGUAGUC